GCCCUUUGUUCUCCUUAAUGAUCAAGAGCUGUUAAUACCAUGCUGUGUUUCUAAUGUAUUUUGUUGGUCAGUACUCUCUGCCCUCUUUGCUCCAGCAAAAACAGGAAUGGAAGCAGUGACAGCAACUCCCACUCAUCUGAUGAGGCUGGAAAAGCGAGAAGAUAUCUGGGAGGAAGAGCCAUUUUCUUUCAAUCAAUUAUUAACUGUCGCUUUGUAUGGACUUAUAUCUACCCCCCAGAGUAUGUCCAGUGGAGUUGCAGAAGCAGCUGCUGUGAAGAGAAACUCUUGUAAGAAAAUAUCUCUAGUUCUGAAUUUUCUCUAGACUGCAUGAAAAGAAAUUAAAUAAUCAAAAUAAUGUUUUAGUGAAUAUGAGGCUGG
RNAcentral lists this long non-coding RNA (378 nucleotides) under Cyanistes caeruleus (blue tit). RNAcentral's name for it is "lncRNA (ENSCCEG00000009364.1)". Lineage: Eukaryota; Metazoa; Chordata; Aves; Passeriformes; Paridae. The record is from RNAcentral.